Molecule: ribosomal RNA, 452 nt
Filed under: uncultured Rhodoferax sp.
Lineage: Bacteria; Pseudomonadati; Pseudomonadota; Betaproteobacteria; Burkholderiales; Comamonadaceae
Description: bacterial SSU rRNA
Rfam family: Bacterial small subunit ribosomal RNA
Source: RNAcentral
CGGUGGAUGAUGUGGUUUAAUUCGAUGCAACGACGAAAACCUUACCCACCUUUGACAUGUACGGAACCCUUUAGAGAUAGAGGGGUGCUCGAAAGAGAGCCGUAACACAGGUGCUGCAUGGCUGUCGUCAGCUCGUGUCGUGAGAUGUUGGGUUAAGUCCCGCAACGAGCGCAACCCUUGUCAUUAGUUGCUACAUUCAGUUGGGCACUCUAAUGAGACUGCCGGUGACAAGCCGGAGGAAGGUGGGGAUGACGUCAAGUCCUCAUGGCCCUUAUAGGUGGGGCUACACACGUCAUACAAUGGCUGGUACAAAGGGUUGCCAACCCGCGAGGGGGAGCCAAUCCCAUAAAGCCAGUCGUAGUCCGGAUCGUAGUCUGCAACUCGACUACGUGAAGUCGGAAUCGCUAGUAAUCGUGGAUCAGAAUGUCACGGUGAAUACGUUCCCGGGUCUU